AGCGAACGCUGGCGGCAGGCUUAACACAUGCAAGUCGAACGGGCUUCUUCGGAAGUCAGUGGCAGACGGGUGAGUAACACGUGGGAACGUGCCCUUCGGUUCGGAAUAACUCAGGGAAACUUGAGCUAAUACCGGAUACGCCCUUAUGGGGAAAGGUUUACUGCCGAAGGAUCGGCCCGCGUCUGAUUAGCUUGUUGGUGGGGUAACGGCCUACCAAGGCGACGAUCAGUAGCUGGUCUGAGAGGAUGAUCAGCCACACUGGGACUGAGACACGGCCCAG
RNAcentral lists this ribosomal RNA (280 nucleotides) under uncultured bacterium. RNAcentral's name for it is "partial 16S ribosomal RNA". It matches the Rfam family "Bacterial small subunit ribosomal RNA", at positions 29 to 334 of the family's 1533-position model. The record is from RNAcentral.